Molecule: ribosomal RNA, 505 nt
Filed under: uncultured bacterium
Lineage: Bacteria
Description: partial 16S ribosomal RNA
Rfam family: Bacterial small subunit ribosomal RNA
Source: RNAcentral
GACGAACGCUGGCGGCGUGCCUAAUACAUGCAAGUAGAACGCACAGUUUAUACCGUAGCUUGCUACACCAUAGACUGUGAGUUGCGAACGGGUGAGUAACGCGUAGGUAACCUGCCUGGUAGCGGGGGAUAACUAUUGGAAACGAUAGCUAAUACCGCAUAAUAUUAAUUAUUGCAUGAUAAUUGAUUGAAAGAUGCAACUGCAUCACUACCAGAUGGACCUGCGUUGUAUUAGCUAGUAGGUGAGGUAACGGCUCACCUAGGCGACGAUACAUAGCCGACCUGAGAGGGUGAUCGGCCACACUGGGACAGAGACACGGCCCAGACUCCUACGGGAGGCAGCAGUAGGGAAUCUUCGGCAAUGGACGAAAGUCUGACCGAGCAACGCCGCGUGAGUGAAGAAGGUUUUCGGAUCGUAAAGCUCUGUUGUAAGAGAAGAACGGGUGUGAGAGUGGAAAGUUCACACUGUGACGGUAUCUUACCAGAAAGGGACGGCUAACUACGUG